GUGGGGAAUAUUGGGCAAUGGGCGAAAGCCUGACCCAGCAACGCCGCGUGAGGGAAGAAGGUUUUCGGAUUGUAAACCUCUGUCCUUGGUGACGAACACAAUGACGGUAGCCAAGGAGGAAGCCCCGGCUAACUACGUGCCAGCAGCCGCGGUAAUACGUAGGGGGCAAGCGUUGUCCGGAAUGACUGGGCGUAAAGGGCGUGUAGGCGGCCGAUUAAGUCUGGAGUGAGAGUCCUGCUUUCAAGGUGGGAAUUGCUUUGGAGACUGGUUGGCUUGAGUGCGGAAGAGGCAAGUGGAAUUCCCAGUGUAGCGGUGAAAUGCGUAGAGAUUGGGAGGAACACCAGUGGCGAAGGCGACUUGCUGGGCCGUAACUGACGCUGAGGCGCGAAAGCGUGGGGAGCGAACAGGAUUAGAAACCCCAGUAGUCC
RNAcentral lists this ribosomal RNA (428 nucleotides) under uncultured bacterium. Its description in RNAcentral is "partial 16S ribosomal RNA". It matches the Rfam family "Bacterial small subunit ribosomal RNA", at positions 354 to 796 of the family's 1533-position model. The record is from RNAcentral.